UCCUAGCCCAGAUUGAAACAACAUCCUUUUCUUGCUUUCUUUAAGCAAGGAAAGAUAGCGUGUAAAGCUGGAAAUAGC
This 78-nucleotide small RNA is filed under the name Flavobacterium sp. 11. RNAcentral's name for it is "Flavo-1 RNA". It matches the Rfam family "Flavo-1 RNA". Lineage: Bacteria; Pseudomonadati; Bacteroidota; Flavobacteriia; Flavobacteriales; Flavobacteriaceae. The record is from RNAcentral. RNAcentral also lists the same sequence under 1 other name.